RNAcentral lists this ribosomal RNA (440 nucleotides) under uncultured bacterium. RNAcentral describes it as "partial 16S ribosomal RNA". It matches the Rfam family "Bacterial small subunit ribosomal RNA", at positions 338 to 795 of the family's 1533-position model. The record is from RNAcentral.
CCUACGGGGGGCUGCAGUGGGGAAUAUUGGACAAUGGGCGAAAGCCUGAUCCAGCAAUGCCGCGUGAGUGAUGAAGGCCUUAGGGUUGUAAAGCUCUUUUACCAGGGAUGAUAAUGACAGUACCUGGAGAAUAAGCUCUGGCUAACUCCGUGCCAGCAGCAGCGGUAAUACGGAGGGCGCUAGCGUUGGUCGGAAUUACUGGGCGUAAAGCGCACGUAGGCGGUUUUUCAAGUCAGGGGUGAAAGCCAGGAGCUCAACUCCGGAAUUGCCCUUGAAACUGGAUGACUAGAGUCUUGGAGAGGUCAGUGGAAUUCCGAGUGUAGAGGUGAAAUUCGUAGAUAUUCGGAAGAACGCCAGUGGCGAAGGCGACUUACUGGACAAGUAUUGACGCUGAGGUGCGAAAGCGUGGGGAGCAAACAGGAUUAGAUACCCCGGUAGUC